This 568-nucleotide long non-coding RNA is filed under the name Lathyrus oleraceus (garden pea). RNAcentral describes it as "Pisum sativum (pea) long non-coding RNA (PSAT_LNC001401)". The record is from RNAcentral. Lineage: Eukaryota; Viridiplantae; Streptophyta; Magnoliopsida; Fabales; Fabaceae.
UUAUUUCCGGCGUUGCCAGCGGAAUUAUCACAAGAAAAUGGAGAACGGGGUUCAAAUGGAGAGAAGGAAGUGCUGGGCAUUUUCUGGAGAACGGGGUUCAAAUGGAGAAAGGGAGACACGGGGUGUUUUCUGGAGAGCGGGGUUCACAAUGACGAUCGAGAGUUAUCGUCAGGUGGCUGGGGUUCAAAUGGAGAACGGGGUUCAUUGUUUGGCGAACAGGAGUGAUAUGAAGUCGUCGGGGUUCAAAUGCGGUGAUCAGGGAUCAUACGCGCGAAAAUAAUUGUUCGGGGUCCAAGAAAAAGCAAAAAAAAAAAUUAAUCAAAGAAGUGUCGGGGUCCAAAAAAAAAAGAAGAAAAAAAAUCAAAAAGUUAUGGGGUUCAAGAAAAGCAAAAAGUAUAAUAAUAAUCCCCAGCGGAGCGCAAAUUGUUCGUCUGUUCUUGGUAUUCAAUCACUCUUCACCCUGAUCAUCUGAAAGCCGAGGCUGUUCAUAUCGACAGGUUCACAAUGGAUUGAAUAGGGGCAGCUGUAACACCUCAAAAUUUGCCCCCUCUUCUUGGGACUAGUUUAG